AUUGAACGCUGGCGGCAGGCCUAACACAUGCAAGUCGAGCGGUAACACAGAGGAGCUUGCUCCUUGGGUGACGAGCGGCGGACGGGUGAGUAAUGCCUGGGGAUCUGCCCGAUAGAGGGGGAUAACUACGGGAAACUGUAGCUAAUACCGCAUAAUGUCUACGGACCAAAGUGGGGGCUCUUCGGACCUCAUGCUAUCGGAUGAACCCAGGUGGGAUUAGCUAGUUGGUGAGGUAAUGGCUCACCAAGGCGACGAUCUCUAACUGGUUUGAGAGAAUGACCAGUCACACUGGAACUGAGACACGGUCCAGACUCCUACGGGAGGCAGCAGUGGGGAAUAUUGCACAAUGGGCGCAAGCCUGAUGCAGCCAUGCCGCGUGUGUGAAGAAGGCCUUCGGGUUGUAAAGCACUUUCAGCGGGGAGGAAGGGCUACUAGUUAAUACCUAGUGGCAUUGACGUUACUCGCAGAAGAAGCACCGGCUAACUCCGUGCCAGCAGCCGCGGUAAUACGGAGGGUGCAAGCGUUAAUCGGAAUUACUGGGCGUAAAGCGCACGCAGGCNGUUUGUUAAGUCAGAUGUGAAGUCCCCGAGCUCAACUUGGGAACUGCAUUUGAAACUGGCAAGCUAGAGUCUUGUAGAGGGGGGUAGAAUUCCAGGUGUAGCGGUGAAAUGCGUAGAGAUCUGGAGNAAUACCGGUGGCGAAGG
This 704-nucleotide ribosomal RNA is filed under the name uncultured prokaryote. RNAcentral describes it as "bacterial SSU rRNA". It matches the Rfam family "Bacterial small subunit ribosomal RNA", at positions 28 to 721 of the family's 1533-position model. The record is from RNAcentral.